This is a small nuclear RNA of Callithrix jacchus (white-tufted-ear marmoset), 192 nucleotides long. Its record names the gene U2. It matches the Rfam family "U2 spliceosomal RNA". From Rfam's summary of the family: U2 is a small nuclear RNA (snRNA) component of the spliceosome (involved in pre-mRNA splicing). The record is from Ensembl. Lineage: Eukaryota; Metazoa; Chordata; Mammalia; Primates; Cebidae.
AUUGCUUUUUGGCCUUUUGGCUAAAAAUCAAUGCAGCAUCUAUUUUUAUCAGCUUAAUAUCUAAUAUGUCUUCUAUCCAAGAACAAUAUUUUAAAUGGAUUUUUUUGAGCAGGGAGAUGGAAUAAGAGUUUGCCCCACCCAUUCCACACAUCAGCCUGGUAUUGCAGUAACUCCAGAAAUGGUUCACCGUGC